Molecule: ribosomal RNA, 549 nt
Filed under: Epicoccum nigrum
Lineage: Eukaryota; Fungi; Ascomycota; Dothideomycetes; Pleosporales; Didymellaceae
Description: eukaryotic LSU rRNA
Rfam family: 5.8S ribosomal RNA (bases 185-338)
Source: RNAcentral
GUAACAAGGUUUCCGUAGGUGAACCUGCGGAAGGAUCAUUACCUAGAGUUUGUGGACUUCGGUCUGCUACCUCUUACCCAUGUCUUUUGAGUACCUUCGUUUCCUCGGCGGGUCCGCCCGCCGGUUGGACAACAUUCAAACCCUUUGCAGUUGCAAUCAGCGUCUGAAAAAACUUAAUAGUUACAACUUUCAACAACGGAUCUCUUGGUUCUGGCAUCGAUGAAGAACGCAGCGAAAUGCGAUAAGUAGUGUGAAUUGCAGAAUUCAGUGAAUCAUCGAAUCUUUGAACGCACAUUGCGCCCCUUGGUAUUCCAUGGGGCAUGCCUGUUCGAGCGUCAUUUGUACCUUCAAGCUCUGCUUGGUGUUGGGUGUUUUGUCUCGCCUCCGCGCGCAGACUCGCCUUAAAACAAUUGGCAGCCGGCGUAUUGAUUUCGGAGCGCAGUACAUCUCGCGCUUUGCACUCAUAACGACGACGUCCAAAAGUACAUUUUUACACUCUUGACCUCGGAUCAGGUAGGGAUACCCGCUGAACUUAAGCAUAUCAAUAAG